UAGGGAAUCUUCCGCAAUGGGCGAAAGCCUGACGGAGCAACGCCGCGUGAGUGAUGAAGGUCUUCGGAUCGUAAAACUCUGUUAUUAGGGAAGAACAAAUGUGUAAGUAACUAUGCACGUCUUGACGGUACCUAAUCAGAAAGCCACGGCUAACUACGUGCCAGCAGCCGCGGUAAUACGUAGGUGGCAAGCGUUAUCCGGAAUUAUUGGGCGUAAAGCGCGCGUAGGCGGUUUUUUAAGUCUGAUGUGAAAGCCCACGGCUCAACCGUGGAGGGUCAUUGGAAACUGGAAAACUUGAGUGCAGAAGAGGAAAGUGGAAUUCCAUGUGUAGCGGCGAAAUGCGCAGAGAUAUGGAGGAACACCAGUGGCGAAGGCGACUUUCUGGUCUGUAACUGACGCUGAUGUGCGAAAGCGUGGGGAUCAAACAGG
Molecule: ribosomal RNA, 429 nt
Filed under: Actinomycetes bacterium
Lineage: Bacteria; Bacillati; Actinomycetota; Actinomycetes
Description: Actinobacteria bacterium partial 16S ribosomal RNA
Rfam family: Bacterial small subunit ribosomal RNA
Source: RNAcentral